Molecule: ribosomal RNA, 253 nt
Filed under: uncultured bacterium
Lineage: Bacteria
Description: partial 16S ribosomal RNA
Rfam family: Bacterial small subunit ribosomal RNA
Source: RNAcentral
GACGAACCGUCCAAACGUUAUUCGGAAUUACUGGGCUUAAAGGGUGCGUAGGCGGUGCGGAAAGUAGAGCGUGAAAUCCCUCGGCUUAACCGAGGAACUGCGUCCUAAACUACCGUGCUCGAGGGAGAUAGAGGUGAGCGGAACUUAGGGUGGAGCGGUGAAAUGCGUUGAUAUCCUAAGGAACACCGGUGGCGAAAGCGGCUCACUGGAUCUCUUCUGACGCUGAUGCACGAAAGCUAGGGUAGCGAACGGG